Long non-coding RNA from Populus nigra (black poplar), 878 nucleotides. RefSeq lists it as uncharacterized. Lineage: Eukaryota; Viridiplantae; Streptophyta; Magnoliopsida; Malpighiales; Salicaceae. The record is from RefSeq and is a predicted model, not a curated record. The transcript is spliced from 2 exons.
UAAACCCUUGUUUCCCACUAUUUUUUCUGACAAAACAUGGAAUUAUUACUCGGAAAUAAUUGUAGUUCAAUACGCAUUUUGCAGAUGCCAUGAUGCAGAGAAAAGCCUCAAAGAGUAGGGCUCACGCCUCACACUCCUUACAUACCCAGGAAAAGCAUUUACUGUUAUGGUGAAUGGGAUACGGUCCGUUACUGAGGAUAAUGAUGCUAUUUUAGAAAACAGGCAUUCGAGAAUCGACAUACUUUCUUGGGUCUCUGUCAGAAGAAUCAUUAUCAGUUUGACACACUUCGCCGAGACAAGCAUUCAUCAAUGAUGAUCCUGCAUCAUCUCCAUAAUCCAACACUGCCUGCAGCUGGAUCUUAUUAACCAAGGAAAUACGACUUUGCACUAUAGUUACCUCAGCACCAUUAAAGAAUCCCCAAGGAAUUCCAUCAAUUCUUUAGUUUCUCUCACGCUGAAUUGAAUAGUAGCCUCAAGUCAUCUUCCCCUCCCCCAUCCUGACUUGGUCGGUCUUAUUUCUGUUGAUGCAAGGAAGUGAUAGGUCAAUCAGUCCCGCCAUUCCAGAUUCAAGCAAAAAAAACCUAUCUAGUCUCCGAUCUGGAGAAGGAAUGCUAACUGGGACCAAGCCAAGUAUCGUCUGUUAAUCAUUCUUUGAAUCCCAGUUGUAUUAGUAUCCAUCGUCGUCAGCGGGCUAGGGCUCCUCUGCGAUUGCACGACCUUUCCUCACCGUCAGGAAAGACCGUCUCCGCUAGUAAUUAAUGUGCAAGUUGGGCAUGAUUAACAUCUAUGCUCCAACGGGGUAGUGUUGAUAUACUAGUAUACUUUUGAAACUUGUUUCUGGCCUGUCACCACAAUGAAUUGGUAAAAGCUGUUCUGCU